This 253-nucleotide ribosomal RNA is filed under the name uncultured bacterium. RNAcentral describes it as "partial 16S ribosomal RNA". It matches the Rfam family "Bacterial small subunit ribosomal RNA", at positions 524 to 776 of the family's 1533-position model. The record is from RNAcentral.
UACGUAGGGGGCAAGCGUUGUCCGGAUUUAUUGGGCGUAAAGAGCGUGUAGGCGGCCAUACAGGUCAGCUGUGAAAACUCGAGGCUCAACCUCGAGACGUCGGUUGAAACCGUAUGGCUAGAGUCCGGAAGAGGAGAGUGGAAUUCCCGGUGUAGCGGUGAAAUGCGCAGAUAUCGGGAAGAACACCCAUGGCGAAGGCAGUUAACUAUUCGAUUCCUGACGUUGAGGCACGAAAGCGUGGGGAGCAAGACGG